CACGUAGGGCGCAAGCGUUGUCCGGAAUUAUUGGGCGUAAAGAGCUCGUAGGUGGUUUGUUACGUCUGCUGUGAAAACCUAGGGCUUAACCCUGGGCUUGCAGUCGAUACGGGCAGGCUAGAAUUCGGUAGGGGAGACUGGAAUUCCUGGUGUAGCGGUGAAAUGCGCAGAUAUCAGGAGGAACACCGGUGGCGAAGGCGGGUCUCUGGGCCGAUAUUGACGCUGAGGAGCGAAAGCGUGGGGAGCGAACAGG
RNAcentral lists this ribosomal RNA (253 nucleotides) under uncultured bacterium. RNAcentral describes it as "partial 16S ribosomal RNA". It matches the Rfam family "Bacterial small subunit ribosomal RNA", at positions 524 to 776 of the family's 1533-position model. The record is from RNAcentral.